This 1346-nucleotide ribosomal RNA is filed under the name uncultured bacterium. Its description in RNAcentral is "partial 16S ribosomal RNA". It matches the Rfam family "Bacterial small subunit ribosomal RNA", at positions 28 to 1381 of the family's 1533-position model. The record is from RNAcentral.
GACGAACGCUGGCGGCGUGCUUAACACAUGCAAGUCGAACGGAAAGGCCCUGCUUUUGUGGGGUGCUCGAGUGGCGAACGGGUGAGUAACACGUGAGUAACCUGCCCUUGACUUUGGGAUAACUUCAGGAAACUGGGGCUAAUACCGGAUAGGAGCUCCUGCUGCAUGGUGGGGGUUGGAAAGUUUCGGCGGUUGGGGAUGGACUCGCGGCUUAUCAGCUUGUUGGUGGGGUAGUGGCUUACCAAGGCUUUGACGGGUAGCCGGCCUGAGAGGGUGACCGGCCACAUUGGGACUGAGAUACGGCCCAGACUCCUACGGGAGGCAGCAGUGGGGAAUAUUGCACAAUGGGCGGAAGCCUGAUGCAGCAACGCCGCGUGCGGGAUGACGGCCUUCGGGUUGUAAACCGCUUUCGCCUGUGACGAAGCGUGAGUGACGGUAAUGGGUAAAGAAGCACCGGCUAACUACGUGCCAGCAGCCGCGGUGAUACGUAGGGUGCGAGCGUUGUCCGGAUUUAUUGGGCGUAAAGGGCUCGUAGGUGGUUGAUCGCGUCGGAAGUGUAAUCUUGGGGCUUAACCCUGAGCGUGCUUUCGAUACGGGUAGACUUGAGGAAGGUAGGGGAGAAUGGAAUUCCUGGUGGAGCGGUGGAAUGCGCAGAUAUCAGGAGGAACACCAGUGGCGAAGGCGGUUCUCUGGGCCUUUCCUGACGCUGAGGAGCGAAAGCGUGGGGAGCGAACAGGCUUAGAUACCCUGGUAGUCCACGCUGUAAACGGUGGGUACUAGGUGUGGGGUCCAUUCCACGGGUUCCGUGCCGUAGCUAACGCUUUAAGUACCCCGCCUGGGGAGUACGGCCGCAAGGCUAAAACUCAAAGGAAUUGACGGGGCCCCGCACAAGCGGCGGAGCAUGCGGAUUAAUUCGAUGCAACGCGUAGAACCUUACCUGGGUUUGACAUGGAUCGGGAGUGCUCAGAGAUGGGUGUGCCUCUUUUGGGGUCGGUUCACAGGUGGUGCAUGGCUGUCGUCAGCUCGUGUCGUGAGAUGUUGGGUUAAGUCCCGCAACGAGCGCAACCCUUGUUCACUGUUGCCAGCACGUUAUGGUGGGGACUCAGUGGAGACCGCCGGGGUCAACUCGGAGGAAGGUGGGGAUGACGUCAAGUCAUCAUGCCCCUUAUGUCCAGGGCUUCACGCAUGCUACAAUGGCUGGUACAGAGAGUGGCGAGCCUGUGAGGGUGAGCGAAUCUCGGAAAGCCGGUCUCAGUUCGGAUUGGGGUCUGCAACUCGACCUCAUGAAGUCGGAGUCGCUAGUAAUCGCAGAUCAGCAACGCUGCGGUGAAUACGUUCCCGGGGCU